RNAcentral lists this ribosomal RNA (253 nucleotides) under uncultured bacterium. RNAcentral describes it as "partial 16S ribosomal RNA". It matches the Rfam family "Bacterial small subunit ribosomal RNA", at positions 524 to 776 of the family's 1533-position model. The record is from RNAcentral.
UACAGAGGGUGCAAGCGUUAAUCGGAAUUACUGGGCGUAAAGCGUGCGUAGACGGUUACAUAAGUCGGAUGUGAAAGCCCCGGGCUCAACCUGGGAAUGGCAUUCGAGACUGUGUAGCUAGGAUGCGGAAGAGGGAAGCGGAAUUUCCGGUGUAGCGGUGAAAUGCGUAGAUAUCGGAAGGAACACCAGUGGCGAAGGCGACUUUCUGGACAAAUACUGACACUGAGGUACGAAAGCAUGGGGAGCAAACAGG